Molecule: ribosomal RNA, 553 nt
Filed under: uncultured archaeon
Lineage: Archaea
Description: bacterial SSU rRNA
Rfam family: Archaeal small subunit ribosomal RNA
Source: RNAcentral
ACGGGGUGCAGCAGGCGAGAAAACUUUGCAAUGUGCGAAAGCACGACAAGGUUAAUCCGAGUGAUUCUUGCUAAAGGAAUCUUUUGUUAGUCAUAAAACCACUAAUGAAUAAGGGGUGGGCAAGUUCUGGUGUCAGCCGCCGCGGUAAAACCAGCACCUCAAGUGGUCAGGAUGAUUAUUGGGCCUAAAGCGUCCGUAGCAGGCUUUGUUAGUUUUCGGUUAAAUCCAUAUGCUCAACAUAUGGGCCGCCGGGAAUACUACAAAGCUAGGGAGUGGGAGAGGUAGACGGUACUCCGUAGGAAGGGGUAAAAUCCUUUGAUCUAUGGAUGACCACCAGUGGCGAAGGCGGUCUACCAGAACACGUUCGACGGUGAGGGAUGAAAGCUGGGGGAGCAAACCGGAUUAGAUACCCGGGUAGUCCCAGCUGUAAACUAUGCAAACUCAGUGAUGCAUUGGCUUGUGGCCAGUGCAGUGCCGCAGGGAAGUCGUUAAGUUUGCCGCCUGGGAAGUACGUACGCAAGUAUGAAACUUAAAGGAAUUGGCGGGGGAGCAC